CCUACGGGAGGCAGCAGUGGGGAAUAUUGGACAAUGGGGGCAACCCUGAUCCAGCCAUGCCGCGUGAGUGAUGACGGCCUUAGGGUUGUAAAGCUCUUUUCUCCGGGACGAUAAUGACGGUACCGGAGGAAUAAGCCCCGGCUAACUUCGUGCCAGCAGCCGCGGUAAUACGAAGGGGGCUAGCGUUGCUCGGAAUCACUGGGCGUAAAGGGCGCGUAGGCGGCUGACUUAGUCGAGGGUGAAAGCCCGUGGCUCAACCACGGAAUGGCCUUCGAUACUGGUUGGCUUGAGACCGGAAGAGGACAGCGGAACUGCGAGUGUAGAGGUGAAAUUCGUAGAUAUUCGCAAGAACACCAGUGGCGAAGGCGGCUGUCUGGUCCGGUUCUGACGCUGAGGCGCGAAGCGUGGGGAGCAAACAGGAUUAGAUACCCUGGUAGUCCACGCUGUAGACGAUGAAUGCUAGCCGUUGGUCUGCAUGCGNGUCGAGUGGCGCCGCGUACGACAUAGCNCUCCGUCCGUGGGAGGUACGGUCGCGAGAAUUAAACUACGAAGUUAGUUAGUAGCGNGNGAGCGCGACGACGACGACGAGGAGGAGG
This 596-nucleotide ribosomal RNA is filed under the name uncultured bacterium. Its description in RNAcentral is "bacterial SSU rRNA". The stretch from base 1 to 516 matches the Rfam family "Bacterial small subunit ribosomal RNA", at positions 338 to 873 of the family's 1533-position model. The record is from RNAcentral.